UUUCCGGGACGGUAGACGGGCUAAAGUCCGUCCUCUUUGAGACCGCAUUCGCCCUCUCGUUUUCCGUAAGGACUGAAAGAAGAGAUACAGAGCCCACCAAUUCACCAAAGAGGCAGAAGAUAUAGAGAGCCCGAAAUCAUUUGAAGCAAACUUCUUUUGUCUGCUACCAGCUGCAGAUUAAUCACAUCAAAGGACAACUUAUUGCUCCCUGGUUAAUUCGUCUAUUCCCACCAUCAAAAGGGUGCAGUGCAGUGAUUAGCCACACUUUUGAUUCCUGGUCCACGUAUUGCUCAGUUUCCACUAUCUUCUUUCAGAGUACAUUCUAAUUUCUGUAUGUUGUGUGGGACAACAACGAACUUUGAGCACAGAGUCUACACCAAAAGGAGUCGACAGGUGAAGCUUCAUCCAGUACUGGACUGACUGCUAAGUACUAAGCCCGAUAUCAUUUGACCACUCUAUCCCAAUCCUUUUCUCCAACUUCACUCGGCACCAUUUCUCAUUUCGCUACACCAUUCAACAAAGGAGCAGAUGAGAUAGAGAAGCUUUCAUCAACUUCUGGACUGACUUGUGAGCCCGAAAUCAUUCGAAGCAAAACUUGUUUUGUCUGCUACCGUAAGUUUCAUUUUGCUUCGACAUCACUGCAUUUUUAAUUUUCAAUUUUUUCAAUUUCAUGGCAUUUUGUUAAAUUCGUGUUAUAUGGUCUCUUAGCAAAAUAUUAUUGUUCUUUAUUAUUACUGUUAUUAUUAUUAAUAUUCUUUUAUAGACUCUGCAAUUAGUUUCCAGUUUCCAUUCAAGUUUGCAAGUGAAGGUUUGAGGUUGAGAAUGAGGUGAUCUAAACAAUUUUAGUUCAA
This is a long non-coding RNA of Coffea eugenioides, 851 nucleotides long. RefSeq lists it as uncharacterized. The record is from RefSeq and is a predicted model, not a curated record. The transcript is spliced from 4 exons. NCBI's taxonomy places the organism in Eukaryota, Viridiplantae, Streptophyta, Magnoliopsida, Gentianales, Rubiaceae.